This 1550-nucleotide ribosomal RNA is filed under the name Salmonella enterica. Its description in RNAcentral is "bacterial SSU rRNA". It matches the Rfam family "Bacterial small subunit ribosomal RNA". The record is from RNAcentral. Lineage: Bacteria; Pseudomonadati; Pseudomonadota; Gammaproteobacteria; Enterobacterales; Enterobacteriaceae.
AAAUUGAAGAGUUUGAUCAUGGCUCAGAUUGAACGCUGGCGGCAGGCCUAACACAUGCAAGUCGAACGGUAGCACAGAGAGCUUGCUCUCGGGUGACGAGUGGCGGACGGGUGAGUAAUGUCUGGGAAACUGCCUGAUGGAGGGGGAUAACUACUGGAAACGGUGGCUAAUACCGCAUAACGUCGCAAGACCAAAGAGGGGGACCUUCGGGCCUCUUGCCAUCAGAUGUGCCCAGAUGGGAUUAGCUUGUUGGUGAGGUAACGGCUCACCAAGGCGACGAUCCCUAGCUGGUCUGAGAGGAUGACCAGCCACACUGGAACUGAGACACGGUCCAGACUCCUACGGGAGGCAGCAGUGGGGAAUAUUGCACAAUGGGCGCAAGCCUGAUGCAGCCAUGCCGCGUGUAUGAAGAAGGCCUUCGGGUUGUAAAGUACUUUCAGCGGGGAGGAAGGUGUUGUGGUUAAUAACCGCAGCAAUUGACGUUACCCGCAGAAGAAGCACCGGCUAACUCCGUGCCAGCAGCCGCGGUAAUACGGAGGGUGCAAGCGUUAAUCGGAAUUACUGGGCGUAAAGCGCACGCAGGCGGUCUGUCAAGUCGGAUGUGAAAUCCCCGGGCUCAACCUGGGAACUGCAUUCGAAACUGGCAGGCUUGAGUCUUGUAGAGGGGGGUAGAAUUCCAGGUGUAGCGGUGAAAUGCGUAGAGAUCUGGAGGAAUACCGGUGGCGAAGGCGGCCCCCUGGACAAAGACUGACGCUCAGGUGCGAAAGCGUGGGGAGCAAACAGGAUUAGAUACCCUGGUAGUCCACGCCGUAAACGAUGUCUACUUGGAGGUUGUGCCCUUGAGGCGUGGCUUCCGGAGCUAACGCGUUAAGUAGACCGCCUGGGGAGUACGGCCGCAAGGUUAAAACUCAAAUGAAUUGACGGGGGCCCGCACAAGCGGUGGAGCAUGUGGUUUAAUUCGAUGCAACGCGAAGAACCUUACCUGGUCUUGACAUCCACAGAACUUUCCAGAGAUGGACUGGUGCCUUCGGGAACUGUGAGACAGGUGCUGCAUGGCUGUCGUCAGCUCGUGUUGUGAAAUGUUGGGUUAAGUCCCGCAACGAGCGCAACCCUUAUCCUUUGUUGCCAGCGGUUAGGCCGGGAACUCAAAGGAGACUGCCAGUGAUAAACUGGAGGAAGGUGGGGAUGACGUCAAGUCAUCAUGGCCCUUACGACCAGGGCUACACACGUGCUACAAUGGCGCAUACAAAGAGAAGCGACCUCGCGAGAGCAAGCGGACCUCAUAAAGUGCGUCGUAGUCCGGAUUGGAGUCUGCAACUCGACUCCAUGAAGUCGGAAUCGCUAGUAAUCGUGGAUCAGAAUGCCACGGUGAAUACGUUCCCGGGCCUUGUACACACCGCCCGUCACACCAUGGGAGUGGGUUGCAAAAGAAGUAGGUAGCUUAACCUUCGGGAGGGCGCUUACCACUUUGUGAUUCAUGACUGGGGUGAAGUCGUAACAAGGUAACCGUAGGGGAACCUGCGGUUGGAUCACCUCCUUACCUUAAAGAA